RNAcentral lists this ribosomal RNA (114 nucleotides) under uncultured bacterium. Its description in RNAcentral is "partial 16S ribosomal RNA". It matches the Rfam family "Bacterial small subunit ribosomal RNA", at positions 1371 to 1482 of the family's 1533-position model. The record is from RNAcentral.
UUCCCGGGUCUUGUACACACCGCCCGUCACACCACGAAAGUUGGCAAUACCCGAAGCCGGUGGCCUAACCCGCAAGGGAGGGAGCCGUCGAAGGUAGGGUUGAUGAUUGGGGUG